This is a non-coding RNA of Triticum aestivum (bread wheat), 106 nucleotides long. The record is from Rfam. NCBI's taxonomy places the organism in Eukaryota, Viridiplantae, Streptophyta, Magnoliopsida, Poales, Poaceae.
AUUGAAUAUGAGGAUCCUUUCCCCAAAUGAUUGAAUAUGAUAACCUUUAUAUUGUGUGCACAUGUAAUCCUUAUCAGAGGGUUCGAGGCCAUCUCUUGUGAACAAU